AGUGUGAGGUUUCAGGAGCUGGCUGGUGGCAACAGGCUCCUCGUCGUUCUGCUGGCUUUUCCAGUACUCCAGCAAAGACUUCAGCACGUGCAGGCAGUAGUCAACAGCACCAGAGCUCAGCAGUGCAGCGGCAGUGGCACUGGAGAUGAGGGAGGAAGACUGAAAGGAAGAGGAGAAGGAUUAGCAGAGCACCUGAGAACCACCAUGUCAGGAGAGCAGCGACAGUCAGACAGCUGACACCACGGCUCAGCCAGGAAGUGCACAGAAAACAAAUUAUUCCAGUCCUCUUCUCACGUUGGUUUCCUGUGUUCUGAGCUUCCAAAAGGUCCUUUUUGGUAAGAGUCAAGUAACACUGUUUUUGCAAGGUAUUUUAAACUGGUUUUCAGUUUUGCACCAUUUAUGUGCACCUUUUAUACCAUCUCUGAUAAGAAUAGCUCCCUAACCACAUCCCACCCCUGAAAAGCACCCUGAAGAACAUACCUCACAAAUGGAAGACUUUGAUCCUGACUUUGUUCUGGACAUGAACACACUAAGCAGCCUCAUUACCACCAGGUGUACUUCAUUCACAGGAGAGCGCUCAUUCUUCUUAGACACAUCCUGCAAAGAGAGAGCUUCCUUACUUACAGAGCAAAGCACACUGUCCUUACACCCACGUUUCAGUGCUCUGACCCUCACAAAGUGUUUCUAAUUUAAGCUCAAGCAAUAACACCAAAAAAAGCAGUCUGAAUUCCUCAGUAUCAGAGCAGACAGUGGCCUGGGGGUCAGAGAACAGUUAUACAGAUGGAUGUGUACAUGUCAGUUAUACAUCACUGAUCAAUCAUCCCUGUUUUAAUUGCUGAAUUUAAGUCAUGCAAGUUUUCAUGCUUACUUGUUGAUGUUGGAAAUAGGUAACAGUGAGUUAUUUCAUACAUUAUGUGAGAUUAACUGUCUGAACAUAUCCAUACAGCAAACUGCUGCUAUGAUUCCCAUGCACCCAACUCCUACAUGGGAAGAAAACCUGUCUAGAAGGAGCAAAUCAAGACCGUGUGCUUGUACUACAGCUUGCCUUUUUCUCCAUGCACAGUUCUGCAAUCAGCUGGGACAGAAGGUUAUCUAAAGCUCCUUUGUCCUUCUCAUCAUCUCCAUCCAGGUCUGUUGUGAGCAUCAGAAUAACCUGGAAAUAGAAGUCAGAAAAUGAACAGAAGGCAGAAUAUGUGUUUUCAAAACAGAUACAAUCUUCCACAAAA
This is a long non-coding RNA of Gallus gallus (chicken), 1226 nucleotides long. RefSeq lists it as uncharacterized. The record is from RefSeq and is a predicted model, not a curated record. Lineage: Eukaryota; Metazoa; Chordata; Aves; Galliformes; Phasianidae. The transcript is spliced from 2 exons.